UAAUACGAAGGGACCUAGCGUAGUUCGGAAUUACUGGGCUUAAAGAGUUCGUAGGUGGUUAAAAAAGUUGGUGGUGAAAUCCCAGAGCUUAACUCUGGAACUGCCAUCAAAACUUUUUAGCUAGAGUAUGAUAGAGGAAAGCAGAAUUUCUAGUGUAGAGGUGAAAUUCGUAGAUAUUAGAAAGAAUACCAAUUGCGAAGGCAGCUUUCUGGAUCAUUACUGACGCUGAGGAACGAAAGCAUGGGUAGCGAAGAGGAUUAGAUACCCUCGUAGUCCAUGCCGUAAACGAUGUGUGUUAGACGUUGGAAAUUUAUUUUCAGUGUCGCAGCGAAAGCGUUAAACACACCGCCUGGGGAGUACGACCGCAAGG
Molecule: ribosomal RNA, 370 nt
Filed under: uncultured Alphaproteobacteria bacterium
Lineage: Bacteria; Pseudomonadati; Pseudomonadota; Alphaproteobacteria
Description: bacterial SSU rRNA
Rfam family: Bacterial small subunit ribosomal RNA
Source: RNAcentral